This 483-nucleotide ribosomal RNA is filed under the name uncultured bacterium. Its description in RNAcentral is "bacterial SSU rRNA". It matches the Rfam family "Bacterial small subunit ribosomal RNA", at positions 28 to 491 of the family's 1533-position model. The record is from RNAcentral.
GACGAACGCUGGCGGCGUGCCUAAUACAUGCAAGUCGAACGCACUCUCGUUUAGAUUGAAGGAGCUUGCUCCUGAUUGAUAAACAUUUGAGUGAGUGGCGGACGGGUGAGUAACACGUGGGUAACCUGCCCUAAAGUGGGGGAUAACAUUUGGAAACAGAUGCUAAUACCGCAUAAAACCUAACACCGCAUGGUGUAGGGUUGAAAGAUGGUUUCGGCUAUCACUUUAGGAUGGACCCGCGGUGCAUUAGUUAGUUGGUGAGGUAAAGGCUCACCAAGACCGUGAUGCAUAGCCGACCUGAGAGGGUAAUCGGCCACACUGGGACUGAGACACGGCCCAGACUCCUACGGGAGGCAGCAGUAGGGAAUCUUCCACAAUGGACGAAAGUCUGAUGGAGCAACGCCGCGUGAGUGAAGAAGGUUUCGGAUCGUAAAACUCUGUUAGUUGGAGAAGAAUGUAUCUGAUAGUAACUGAUCAGGUAGU